CACGGAAUUAGCCGGUCCUUAUUCGCAGGGUACAUGCAACAGAGCACACGUGCUCCUUUUUAUUCCCCUGUAAAAGCAGUUUACAACCCAUAGGGCCGUCUUCCUGCACGCUACUUGGCUGGUUCAGGCUUUCGCCCAUUGACCAAUAUUCCUCACUGCUGCCUCCCGUAGGAGUUUGGACCGUGUCUCAGUUCCAAUGUGGGGGACCUUCCUCUCAGAACCCCUACUGAUCGAUGCCUUGGUGGGCCGUUACCCGCAACAAGCUAAUCAGACGCAUCCCCAUCCAUAACCGAAAUUCUUUGCUCUAUAAAGAUGCCUAAUAAAGAGAACAUAAGGUAUUAGACCGCAUUUCUACGGAGUAUCCCUUUGUUAUGGGAAGGUUGGAUACGCGUUACUCACCCGUGCGCCGGUCGACGACAAAAAGCAGCAAGCUGCUUCCCCGUUCCCUCGACUUGCAUGUGUUAAGCCUGUAGCUAGCGUUCAUCCUGAGCCAGGAUCAAACUCU
RNAcentral lists this ribosomal RNA (505 nucleotides) under uncultured Prevotella sp. Its description in RNAcentral is "partial 16S ribosomal RNA". The record is from RNAcentral. Lineage: Bacteria; Pseudomonadati; Bacteroidota; Bacteroidia; Bacteroidales; Prevotellaceae.